This 467-nucleotide ribosomal RNA is filed under the name uncultured bacterium. RNAcentral's name for it is "partial 16S ribosomal RNA". It matches the Rfam family "Bacterial small subunit ribosomal RNA", at positions 28 to 507 of the family's 1533-position model. The record is from RNAcentral.
GACGAACGCUGGCGGCGUGCUUAACACAUGAAAGUCGAACGGAAAGGCCUCUUUCGGGGGGUACUCGAGUGGCGAACGGGUGAGUAACACGUGAGUAACCUGCCCUUGACUUUGGGAUAACUUCAGGAAACUGGGGCUAAUACCGGAUAGGAGCUCCUGCUGCAUGGUGGGGGUUGGAAAGUUUCGGCGGUUGGGGAUGGACUCGCGGCUUAUCAGCUUGUUGGUGGGGUAGUGGCUUACCAAGGCUUUGACGGGUAGCCGGCCUGAGAGGGUGACCGGCCACAUUGGGACUGAGAUACGGCCCAGACUCCUACGGGAGGCAGCAGUGGGGAAUAUUGCACAAUGGGUGGAAGCCUGAUGCAGCAACGCCGUGUGCGGGAUGACGGCCUUCGGGUUGUAAACCGCUUUCGCUCAUGACGAAGCUUUGUGUGACGGUAGUGGGUAAAGAAGCACCGGCUAACUACGUG